GGCUUUGUAGCUCAGCUGGUAAAGCAUGCGCGUACAAAGCGUAGGCAGUGUCCAUGCGUAGGUUGAAAUCACACCGAGGCUA
Non-coding RNA from Echinostoma caproni, 82 nucleotides. The record is from Rfam. NCBI's taxonomy places the organism in Eukaryota, Metazoa, Platyhelminthes, Trematoda, Plagiorchiida, Echinostomatidae.